This 497-nucleotide ribosomal RNA is filed under the name uncultured bacterium. RNAcentral's name for it is "partial 16S ribosomal RNA". It matches the Rfam family "Bacterial small subunit ribosomal RNA", at positions 28 to 507 of the family's 1533-position model. The record is from RNAcentral.
GACGAACGCUGGCGGCGUGCCUAAUACGUGCAAGUCGAACGAACAGAUGAGGCGCUUGCUCCUUUGACGUUAGCCGAGGGCGGGUGUGUAACACGAGGAUAACCCACCUAUAAGACUGGGAUAACUUCGGGACACCGGCGCAUAUCCCGUAUAAUAUCUUGAACCGCAUGGUUCGAUAGUGAAAGACGGCUUUGCUGUCACUUAUCGAUGGAUCCGCGCCGCAUUAGCUAGUUGGUACGGUAAAGGCCUACCAAGGCAACGAUGCGUAGCCGACCGCAGAGGGUGGUAGGCCGCACGGGAACGGGAACACGGUCCAGAGUCCUAAGGGAGGGAGCAGUAUGGAACGUGCCGCAAUGGUCGAAAGCCUGACGGAGCAACGCCGCGUGAGAGAUGAAGGUCUUCGGAUCGUAAAGCUCUGUUAUUAGGUGAGAACAAAUGUGUAAGUAGCUGAGCACGUCUUGACGGUACCUAAUCAAGAAGCCACGGCUAACUACGUG